RNAcentral lists this ribosomal RNA (253 nucleotides) under uncultured bacterium. Its description in RNAcentral is "partial 16S ribosomal RNA". It matches the Rfam family "Bacterial small subunit ribosomal RNA", at positions 524 to 776 of the family's 1533-position model. The record is from RNAcentral.
UACUAAGGGGGCUAGCGUUGCUCGGAAUCACUGGGCGUAAAGGGUGCGUAGGCGGGUCUUUAAGUCAGGGGUGAAAUCCUGGAGCUCAACUCCAGAACUGCCUUUGAUACUGAGGAUCUUGAGUUCGGGAGAGGUGAGUGGAACUGCGAGUGUAGAGGUGAAAUUCGUAGAUAUUCGGAAGAACACCAGUGGCGAAGGCGACUCACUGGACAUGUAUUGACGCUGAGGUACGAAAGCGUGGGGAGCAAACAGG